Siniperca chuatsi (mandarin fish) is the source of this 1895-nucleotide long non-coding RNA. RefSeq lists it as uncharacterized. The transcript is spliced from 4 exons. NCBI's taxonomy places the organism in Eukaryota, Metazoa, Chordata, Actinopteri, Centrarchiformes, Sinipercidae. The record is from RefSeq and is a predicted model, not a curated record.
AUACCCAUAUCCUAAGAGGACAAUUGAAGCAUGUGUUGCUCUCAUUGAAGGAUAAAUGUCACCUUAUUACUGUGCAGUUACAUACAACUUGUAAACAUACUUUACCUGAAUGAAUCGAGGUAAAUCAGGAUUUGGAGUAGAAAUGUGUCAGUGUUACAUUUUCAUAUAUAUUUGCUUUGAAUGUCGUAUUUGUGCUUAAUUAGAACCGAAAAGAAAAGAAAUGUAGUCAUCUUCAUCCCUUCAAAAAGACACAAACAAGGAAAAAGUUUUGUAUUUUGUGCUCAGAAGUUCCAUUCGCUGGAGUCCCAGCCAUAUCAACUACAAUCGUCUAUCUACUGUUUUUAAAGUCAUGUUCUGUCUUUGCAAGUGACACCAAACCCUUAUUUGCCUGCAAUUUCCCUCAUUGGAAUCAAAGGUUAAAUGGUAAGAGGGCUGAUCAGGUAUUGUCUGUGCUAGACAAGCUCAUUAAUGUGUCACAAUUCAUUAUCAGAGCCUUGUCCUCACCUUGUCAGGUGGCUAAUGGGAAUAUCAAUCAUAGGCUACCCCAUCACGACCCUUCUCACAUCUUUGCUGCGCAUCUUGCCUCUGUUGACUUCUCAUCCCGAAAUACCACCAGGCCCAAACAGAUCUGUCUGGAACAAAUGUCAAACACAAUUCGGCUCAGGAGUAAACACCCACAAACAUGGCUGACAUAUAGAGUGCGAUUCUUCUUUCUACAUUGCAGAGGUGCCGGUGCUGCUGUUUUACAGAUGUGUUCCAGCUGUUGUAUUAAGAUACAGUGUGUUUUUUGUGACAAGGUGAUGAGCCUUUGUGGACAAAGGAAAAUUAUGAACUUUUAUUUUUGCUGAAGGGAAGACUAAAUGCUCUCAGCAACAAAGCUGAUAGGAACUCAUAAGUGGGCAACGUCAUAUAAGUAUGCAAAUACAAUGUAAAGUGAGCAAUACAAAUAAUGGAUAAGAUUAGAAAAAAUAUGUACAAAUGGCAAAGAAAUAAGAGUUAGAAGCGUUAUUAUAUACAGUACCAUAUAAAAAAAAAAAAAAACAAAAGUGAGUUGACUUUUCAUUUGAUUUAAAUGUUUAUUUAAGUUACAAACAAAUAAAAAAUAUGUUCUUUCUAAUUUAAUCAUUUAAAUUUUUUGUUUAAUUUGAUUUAAUUUUUCAUAAAAAAUUUAAAUUGAUUGGAUUGAAUCUUGAACUUUUAACUUUCAACACCAAAAACAGUACAUGUAUUCAAUCAUGUUCUUCAGCUACCGUAGAUUUUCAAAUGUUCAGUUUAUUCCUAACGACCUUGAACACCCACACAGGUGCUGAUAAGCGUGUGACUUAGCAUAACGAGCGCAAGGCUCGUGCAAUUACAUCAGAAAACAUAUCGUUUUUAAGCAAGACACAGUAUAUUUAGAGAUUGUAUGAGUGACAAUUAAGGGCUGUUUUGAGUUCCUGAUCAGAAAUCCUUUUCUGAACAAACUUGCAGAUAAACAGAGAUCUGGUGCGUGGCAGCGGGAAGAAAAACAGGCACGCAGACAGCUCUGACAAGCAAUUACACAGCAGCUUGUUUGGGAGGCAGACUGGGAUGAGCUCUGGUCUGAUGGCGGGGCACAAGAUUGAAUACUCCAGAGACGGAGAAGAAAAUGGCCAGAGGGAGAACACUGGUGAGACAUCCACAGAUGGAGAGAUGAUGGAUGGAUAGAAUGAUGAAUCCUAGAAGGUUGGAUGGAAAGAUGACGCAUGGAUGUAUAAGAAGAGCUGUCUCCGUGUGCAGUCACUGUGGCUGAAAAGACAAAGAAACAAGUGACAUCUCCAGAAAAUUACAGACAAUUAACUUUAACAACAAGUGAACACACUGUUGACAAGUUUGUGUUGACAGGUGAUCUUUUGGGAGAGGCAGUCCAAAACCAC